GAUGAACGCUGGCGGCGUGCCUAACACAUGCAAGUCGAACGAAGCACCUUACCUGAUUCUUCGGAUGAAAGUUUGGUGACUGAGUGGCGGACGGGUGAGUAACGCGUGGGUAACCUGCCCUGUACAGGGGGAUAACAGCUGGAAACGGCUGCUAAUACCGCAUAAGCGCACGAGGAGACAUCUCCUUGUGUGAAAAACUCCGGUGGUACAGGAUGGGCCCGCGUCUGAUUAGCUGGUUGGCAGGGUAACGGCCUACCAAGGCAACGAUCAGUAGCCGGUCUGAGAAGAUGAACGGCCAGAAUGGAACUGAGGCACAGUCCAAACUGCGACGGGAGGGAGGAGUGGGGAAUAUUGCACAAGGGGGGAAACCCUGAUGCAGCAACGCCGGGUGAGAGAAGAAGUAUGUCGGUAUGUAAAGCUCUAUGAGCAGAGAAGAUAAUGACGGUACCUGACAAAGAAGCACCGGCUAAAUACGUG
This 477-nucleotide ribosomal RNA is filed under the name uncultured bacterium. Its description in RNAcentral is "partial 16S ribosomal RNA". It matches the Rfam family "Bacterial small subunit ribosomal RNA", at positions 28 to 507 of the family's 1533-position model. The record is from RNAcentral.